This 38119-nucleotide long non-coding RNA is filed under the name Chlamydomonas reinhardtii. RNAcentral's name for it is "long non-coding RNA (CREI_LNC000330)". Lineage: Eukaryota; Viridiplantae; Chlorophyta; Chlorophyceae; Chlamydomonadales; Chlamydomonadaceae. The record is from RNAcentral.
CCAUGUCCACCUCGUUGUCGAAGUGGCCAAUGUUGCCGACAAUGGCGUUGUUCUUCAUCUUGGCCAUGUGCUCAGCCAUGAUGAUGUCCUUGUUGCCGGUGGUGGUGAUGAAGAUGUCGGCGGUCUCCAGGCAGUCCUCCAGGGGCUGGACCUGUGGGGCGAAGGCAAGGGGGAUGGGGAGGAGCGGGUCAGCGCAUUGCACUUUAACGUAGCAGGACGGGACGAGAUGCGUAUACCAAGUGCGGCACUUGCUGCGAAUGCCGCCACAUACACAAACCUCUACUUUCUUACAUGAAGUGUCCAGGGUUCCCUUUUAAGAAUCGGCGUGAACCCCGUCCUUCCGUCCACUUCCACCUGCCAAUCCCUGCCUACCUGGUAGCCCUCCAUGGCGGCCUGCAGCGCGCAGAUGGGGUCGAUCUCCGACACAAUGGUGCGGGCACCGGCGGCCUUCAUGGCGCUGGCGCAGCCCUUGCCCACAUCACCGUAGCCGGCGAUGAAGGCGGUCUUGCCGGCAAUCAUCACGUCAGUGGCGCGCAUGAUGCCGUCGGGCAGCGAGUGGCGGCAGCCGUACACGUUGUCGAACUUGGACUUGGUGACGGAGUCGUUCACGUUGAUGGCGGGGAACAGCAGGCUGCCGUUAGCCUGCAUCUCAUAGAGGCGCUUCACGCCGGUGGUGGUCUCCUCAGACACGCCCAUCACCUUCUUGGACAUGCUGUGGGAGGGUGGAACGGGCGAGGGUGGAACGAGGAGGUUUAGCAUGGGCGUAGGGCCGGCUGCGGGAGACACGCACAAGCACUACAGACACUUGAGUCUCAAACUGGAGGUCUUCCUUAUUGUACAUUUGCAUCCACGCUCCCAUGCUGCUCAUGCAUCGCACAGCUUGGUCCGAGGAUCCAUCCAUAUCUGCUAAGACUGACUUCUUGCUUCUGCGACUCACCGGGUCCACUUGGUGGCGUCCUUCUGGAUGGAGUCGCGGAUCAGGCCCAGCACAAUCUUGAACUCGGCGUUGUCGGUCGAGUCGGGGUUGGGCAGGGUGCCGUCCUUAGCGUACUGCUCCUCAGCCUUCAGGCCCUCUGUGAUAGGAGGGAACAGGAGAGGGAGGAGGGAGCAGGGAAGGGUGAGCGAUAGAUUGAGAAUGGGAUGAAGCAGCAUGGUGCAGACAGGGCCAUGCAGUAGCACAGCUUCCAUCAGACCGUACAGGCUGCCGCUUGUAGCAGCCAGGGCAGGAGGACAGGCGCUUCAAAGGGGCCAACGCCACGCGAGGAUGACACGCACCGUGGAUGAGCAGGGUGGCGUCACCACCGUCGUCCACCAGCAGGUCGGGGCCGUCGCAGCCAGCCCAGGUCAGGGCCUGCUCGGUGCACCACCAGUACUCCUCCAGGGUCUCGCCCUUCCAGGCGAACACGGCGGCGGAGUCGCGGGCGAUGGCGGCAGCGGCGUGGUCCUGGGUGGAGAAGAUGUUGCACGAGCACCAGCGGACCUCAGCGCCCAGGGCGGUCAGGGUCUCAAUCAGCACGGCGGUCUGGAUGGUCAUGUGCAGAGAGCCGGUAAUCUUGGCACCCUUGAAGGGCUGGGCGGGGCCGAACUCGGAGCGGCACGCCAUCAGACCGGGCAUCUCAGCCUCGGCCAGGUCGAUCUCCAGGCGACCGAAGUCAGCCUCGGCGAUGUCCUUCACCUUGUACUGUGGGUGGGAAAGAAUAAUAGCGGGCACGCGAGGUAAAUUGGCAGCUUCCAGCAAGCAGAUCAGUUGCCGGCGGAGAAGCGCGCGCGAAGUGACCCCAGCGUAGACCACCAAUUCAGAGUAAGCGAAGCAGUGCCGCUUGUGCAAUUGAGCACUUGCAACCCAGAAAUGCCCCGGUUGCCGGUGGGAGCGAAUAUGAUCGAGUGCUCAACAAACACAAGCCCGGACAACGGGCACUCGAGCGCACAGCGCUCCAAGUAGCUACUUCUUAUGCGCCUAUAUGCAUCUAGCUUGGGAAAGGCUAUGCGGCGGCCGGUGCCGAGGAUCUUUGCGCACCUCGCGGCCAUUGACGUGGUCGACGGAGAGGGCCAUCUUGACUGGUGUAGUAGGUGCUGUGCCUAAAGCAACAACAACCUGAAGUAAGAUGGGAAAAAGGUAAGGCAUGCAGGUGAGCGGGGACUGCUAAAUGAAGGGCGGGUUGUCCCAUUGCGCCGUACAAUGUGGUGACGGGUAUUUCCUGUGUUGUCUGUGGACCGGUUAUUGUGCUGCGGAGUUGACGACGUGUCGUGGUAGCAUGUAAGAGGCCAGCGCGCGGUGACGAAAAUCACCGUGAGAAGAGAAGAGAAUGAGCGACCGCUUCAUGUGAACCACUCGAUUAGCGCGCGCCGCUUUGCAUUGCACUUUUGUUUCCGGUCGCGGUUGGACUGGUAGCUGCGCUCAAUAUCUAUUAGAUUAGAAACGUUGGAGGCGCUUGGGAGGCUCGUCGGCGACGCGGCGGGUGGUUGCGGGGGCGCGGUUUGGCGGGAAGUGGCUUCCCAAGGGCCUGGCUUGUGCGUGUGUGGCUGCGAUUUGAGCUGCGUGCCAGUGGAGCUCUCACCGAAUUGCCGGUCCAGUUGCGCAGCGCAGCGCUGCAUCUUGAACUGUCUUGUGGUGAGGGCAAGGGGCAGGGGCGCUGCAGGGCCCUGCCUGGAGCAUCAGCGUCGCCCUUUCCCCGGCAUCCCUUUCGUCAUGGGACCUCUCGGGAACGCCUCGGUACUGCUCAGGGCUAUGGGGUACUGGCAGCCCUGUCAUGCGGUGCCCCACACGCUGGCGGCCGCAACCGCUGCCAGCGACUCCGCUGGUGGGCGGCGGCGCCGCCGGAGUGGGUGCACCGGGUGGCUCGGGCCAGGGCUGCGGCUGAGCGCCUGCGCAGGCGGGCUGUGGAGCCGGCUGCGCCGCUGAUCGAGCUAGCGUGCAUUGCGUGCAAAUCACGACAGGCGCACUGUUCCGCAUGGGUCGGCAGCCGGGCGCACGGCCAGCCUUUCAGGCAGGGGAGGCUGCGGCACGGUCUGGCGCAUGCAGAGUUGUGUUCGUGAACAUCAGGUGCCCGGGAGUCGCCCCUGAUGUAGAUUCGUGUGCAUGAAGCAUCCUUGCAUGCGUGUAGUAGUUACCGCGGGUAUUGCGUGCGGCUGUACUAGGGGGCACAAGGACAGACAAACGACACGCAUGAAUCCGCGGGCUGUAUGUGUGACUGGUGCAGCUACAGCCUGCGCGUUUCCAUUCUUUCUGUGUAAUCUGCCCCAGGCUAUGGCCCCACGCUGGCGCACCACGAAUGCAUGAGGCACGACGAAAGCAUGGGUUACACCUUGCGCAUGUGCGCAAAGCCAGCCCACUCUCCUCAGCUCUCAACCGUCUCAACGCCCAAACACAAUCACACUCGGCGCCCCAUCAUAGGCGCCCUGACGGCCGCACGCCAAUCCUGGUCUCUUCGGCCGUGGCCGCACACCACCCUUCGCAAACUGCACCUGUCAGGAAAGACGUGCACUCGCUACCUUGUGCUUGUGAUCCCUCCCAGCCCUGCCACCCUGUUCCUUCAGUCUGAUCCCUCAACCUCGGCCCGCCACCCCCGUUCUCCUCUGACGACAGCUCAUCAAGCGUGCCCAGUGGCGGGCUUGUCGUGUGCCUUGUCCUUGUGGUGCUCAAUCUUCUCCUGAAUCUUGUGCUUGGCGUCCUUCAGCGAUUUUUUGAUGUCAUCUGCAAAGAGCCGCACACACAGGUGCACAGAAAUCAAGGUGCAGCCGUGAAGGCCCAUCCCCUUCGCGCAUCCCUGGGUCGCGGUAGCCGUAAUUGAGACGAUACAUAAAAUUACAUCCGCCACCCACCCACAGCAGCAGCAGUUCCCCCAUGCUCCCGCCCGCUGCUGCCGUACGCAUCCCCAAUGCCCCAGGGCCCCACUUACCGCGGCGCUUGAAGAUGAACCAGCCCAGGGUGCCGACGGCGGCAGUGCCCAGCGCAACGAUGCCGCCAAUGAUAAGGUUGCGGCGGAGGUCCUCGUCCGUCUGCAGCCGGUUGCGCACACGGCGCGUCCCGGUCUGCGGGGGGCGGGGGGGGGCGGCAGCAGACAUGUGGGGCGUGCGGGAUCACACGGCGAUUGCUAGGGCACAGACAAGGCAGAGCGCCGUGCGGGGAGGCAGCAGCGGGAAGGGCUAGCUGCCGGCACCCAGGGAAGUGCGGGGGCGACGUGCUGUUCGUAGCAUUGCUGCUCGAUUGUGUUCUAGCACGCACAGCGGCAGCUUCGCAGGGCUACGGUUGAGCCGUCCUCGGCCACACGCGGCCAUCCUGAACCACGCAAGGCUAGCGUUGGACGCGCGCAGCUUCCGGCAAAUGCGCUCCUCACCCGCUCAACGCCUACUCCUGCCACCGGUCCCGCGGCCGGCCGCGCCUUUCUGCUCGACCCGCCGCGGGCCCCGCCGCACGGUGCUCACCUUGGCGCAGUUGGCAGUGUCCUCACCAGCCUUCUCGGCCCUGUGCGUGAGAGAGCGAGUCAUGGUGACGGCGCGAGGACGCUGACGACCACCGGACGGCUACGUGGGAGUUUUGCAGCGGCUGUGUUGUUCUGCGCUGUUUUGGGCGCGGUGUGCAAACUGCUUGUGGGCAGAAAUAAGUUACGGGCUAGGCUCCAAGCACAGAAGCGGCAUCAGAGUUCACCGGAAUGGGGGCCAAUCAAAAUGCCCCCUAGGCAGCGGCAAUUUACGCUCGGAACUAGGUCUGGCAUGCGGCUGCGACAUGAGCCGAGCAAUGCAAAUGAGGCGGCACGUGAGGCUCCAAAGGAGGCUCGGCGGCUCGCAGCAGAGCGCGCUCGACCCGCGGGCCGCAGUGGCACGAACAUCGACCGCUCCCGCACUUUUACAGCGGGGCUGCCGCUUGCCCGUGCGUGUCCGAAGGCCCCCAAUAUGUACACGCCCCGGGGACCUAAACGUACCAGGCCGGGUAGGGGGCCCGAAGCCACCGCCAAUCUGGCACGCCACGCGCUCCCAUCCGUUCUCCCAACGUUGUAUGUCGCCUUCAUCACACACCCCGAGCACCACCACACAUGCUGCACGCUACAUUGUAAAUCGGUCUGUGGCCUCAUGCUGUCACUAUGUGUCGCCACCAUGCUGUAUGUUGGUGAAAAGAAAUCGAGGAUGCGGCCACUGCGCUCCGGAAGCCCCUCCUCCUCCUCCUCCCCCUUCGCACGACGCCCACUGCCCAACAACUGGCCAACCAAGCGCAUACUAGCCAUGCUGCACGACCGCCUCCUCCCGCUCACUACGCAGACCUACGCAGCACCAGCCAUUGCCGCCGCGCCCAUCACCUCCCCCCCCGCCUACCGCAUCACAUCACACCGCACCGGACUGCUCUGCGCUGCUUUACACGUAGCGCUUGGCGCCUGGCCGCUGCGACUCCUUGAUGCGCUCCUCCUCGAUCUUCUUCUUCACCGCCGCCUGGUCCACAACCACCUGUUGCAGUGCAGCAACGGCAGCAGGGGUGAGUCAAGGGCAGCGUCACAGCACACAGAUCCUCAGCUAGGGAACGGGAGCUGGAGCAUGCAGGACACGGGAAAGCGCACCGCUGAACACCCGAACAGCGCUCUUUCGCAGGCACCGUCCCAGCACCCCUCCUCCCGGGUCCGAGGGGCCACAACUCACCGACUCGUUCAUCUGCAUGAAGCGCGUGAUGGACUCGGCGAGCUUGGCGUUCUUGAGGAACUGCUGGCGGUACCACAGCACCGUGUCCUGGUGCUGCUUGUGCUGCGUGGCCAGGUCCAGCGCGCGCUCCCAGUUGAACAGCUUGAUGUUCAGCUUGAUGGCGCGGAAGACCAGGCCGGCCUGGGCGCGGUGGGUGACAGGGGGGAAGGGAAGAGGGAGGGAGGGAAGAGGUGAGGGAUGAGGAAGGGGUGAGGAAGGGGAGGGCAUGGGAGGGAGGGCGAGAGCGACAAGUUGGGGCCCAGACCCUUACGGCCGUCUCACAUCCCAGUCACACCACCCCUACACCGCAGUACCCACCAGCCCCUCGGGUAUCGCAGCACGAUCCCACACCACCCGAAAGCAUCACCCCACAUCACCCUCACCCCCAUCCCCCCACCCCCACCGCCACCAAGCCCACCAAGCGCACGCACCUGCAGCAGUAUGGACUCGCCCUCCUCGGGCUUGCGCCGGUACACCGCCAGCUCGGCGUUGCGGCCCUCCUCCGUGGGGAUCUGCUUCACCUUGCGCACAAAGUGCGUCUUGUCCACCUCGUCAAUCGCCGCGAACGCCACCUCCGCCGUGUUCAGCUCCUUAGCCGCCAUGGCCAUCGCCGCCAGCGUGGCCCACAUGGUGGGGUCCUUGAUGAAGCGACACAGCCGCGUGGCCUUGUCCCACUGCUGCUUGCGGAUCAUGUCGUACAGUACGGCAGGGUAGGGCGAGGUGGCGGCGGAGACCAGCACGCCGUCGGAGCGGCGCACCAGGCAGCGGUUGCCGGCGAAGAGCUGGAUCUGGGCCGACUUGCCAAAGUCCGAGUCGGACUUGGUGUAGCGCGUCUUGGCCAGCAGGUCCUUGUCCACGUACACCUCGCUGGGGUAGUACCACACACACUGCGGGGGCGGGGGGGAAUGGGGUCAGGGGGUGUCAAGAGUGGAGUGACAGCUCCGUGGGGCGCUGCGAGGCGGAGCGCAGUGGUGACUUGCACAGCUGAGAAGGAGAGCGCAAGCGCCGCAAGCCCGACCCACAUCUUGGCGCCCAUCCCUUUCUCCUCUCCGUUACCCGCCAGCAGCCCCCCUCAAAACUCAUCCUGCACCACCACGCCCUCCAACCCCCCUCCCCCAUAUGCGCCACGCUCUCCUCCUCGCUCUUUCGCAUACGGCUCGGUUCAGCUGGGCUCGCAUCUACACCCCCCCGAUCUCCCCAAACCCCAUCAUUGGUUUAGUUUGGGCUGGUAUUUACAACCCCCCAUCUCCCCCCGCCGCCCCCCCCCUAAGCACACGCACCAGGCGCUGGUCCACCAUGGCGGACAGCAUGGCGGUGCUGUCGUGCCAGCGCGCCGAGUCGCACAUGGCCGCCAGCUUGGCCACGUGGCGCUUCAUGACGGGCAGCAGGUACAGGUCGCGGUUGCGGUCGAUGACGAUGAGCUGGCGGUCGUUGAUGGUGCCGGCCUGGCUCAGCGCGAUCUCCUUCACCUCCAACGUGUGCUGCCACGGCUCGCCCACUGGCCGGCCCUGAGGGAGGGGAGGGGAGGGGAUCAUGGCGGGAAGCGAGUGAGCAAGGCGUGUUUGUGGAGCGGCUGGUUAGAGGCAGGCCAGCUUCUGGUGGGCAGGCACGAGAGCCAUGCCCGCACCCGCGCCCCGGGCAGCGUAGACCCUGCCUUCCCCCCCCCCCGUGCAUGACCGAUUCAUGAAGCCCUCCGGAUCCGCUUGCCCGCCGCCGCACCUGCGCCGUGUCGAAGAAGCGCACGGUGGUGCCGCUGGCCUGCUGGUCCAGCACCGCUAUCGUGUCGUUGGACAGCGUGAUCAUCUGCGCGUUCAGCAGCUCGGUGCGCAGGCCCUGGAAGCGCGGGUUGCAGAUCUGGCGGCCCUCGUAGGUGUAGAUCUGGAUGCCCGCCGAGUUGUCCAGCAGCAGGAAGUGCCGCUCAGCCUGUGCGGGUGGGCGUGUGUGUUGGAGUAAGAGGUAGAAAGAGGGGGGAUGUGUGUGCUAAAGGAAAGCGCACCGGGAAAGGGCCGACACUGGGAGGGUGAGUGCGUGCGCGUGCGGGCCAGCCGUGUUGUUGCAGCCCGCCCCCCAGCCAACCCCCGUCCGUUCUCCAUGAACGGCCAAUCCCCCCUUCACGGUGACUACUGGAACCUAUUUCGUUGGCCUCGGGCAUACACCCCCGCCCUCCUGCACCCCGCAGUCGCACACCUGCAGCAGCAGGGUGACCGUGUCUUUGAGGUCAAAGAUGUGCGGCGUGCCCAGGUUGGUGGUGUUGUACACGUGGCACUGCGUCGCGGUGGCCACGAUCAGGUAGCCGUACCCUGCGGCACACGUGGCGGAGCGGCACCGGGUUAGGGCGCGGUACCUAGCUGUGCCUAAACAACGCAAACCACCCACCCAGCCUUCACGCCCAUCCUCGUUCUCCCUUGCAAUCAUCCCCUUGCAAUCACGCCGACGCAUCCACGUCACAAGCACCGGCCACUGGCCCCUUGUCCGCCCGCCCUCGCUCCCCCCCGCCCUCACCUAGCGACACCUUGAUGACGCGGUCACGGAACUCGGGCAGCUCGUCCGCGUUCUCGUUCAAGAUGUCGUUCACCACAAUGCGCAUGUCGUCCACCACCGUCACCUGAGCACACACGGCAGGGCCACCAUGAAUGCAUGCUCCCCUGUGUGCUCACGACAAACUGCACCUGCACAGGCGCCCUGGCCGGGCCCCGCCUUGACCCCCAUCGGCUGCUGGCAUGCCCUUUCCUGCUCUCCACAUAGCACACACAGCGCACAAAACAACCCCCCCUAGUUGCGCUUGGACAGUCACCUGCCCUCCAUUCGCCCCCACGCCCUGCAACCCCGCACCAUCACACCCCGCCUACGCUCCUUUCCCUGCUCGCCCAUUUCCAUCCCCUUUCUUCCCCUUCUGCCCCCUCCCCCCGUCCCUCUCCGCCUUUUUUUCACCUGCCCCUCCUUGACCACAUGGCCUAACGGCGAAGGUACAGAUUCCGGCAAUCCCCAGUGUACCCCAGGGGAGCACUUGGGCUGUCAUUACGGGUUUGGGUCUAGCAACCCCCCUCCCCGCCCCUCCCCUCCCCGCCCCCCUCCCCCCACCUGCAUCUUGCCGUCCUCCAGCGCCAGGUCCACCACCUGGCCGAACACCACGCCGCCGCUGCCGCCGCCGCCCGCCAGCUGCGUGCUGUCCGCCGUCCAGCUCAGAGUCAUGAUGCUGCCCGUGUCGUUGAGGUGGAUCUGUGAAGGGGGGGCGGGCGGGGUGAGGGUGUGGUGGCGGGAGCUGUUAGGGGAGGGGAGGCAGGCAGGCAUACGCGCUCGCUGGCCGCGCUGACCACGAGUACUUCCUGUUGCGUGUGCAGCCUUGUCCCCGGCCUCGUCACACAGCCCCACAACUGCUACCGAAGCUUUGGCCGCAGGCAGCGCGCCCAGCUACCUUCCCUUUCCAAGCUAUUCAUGCCCAGUCCCCUUGUCUGUGCUGGGUCGCUCUGCUUAUGCUCUUGCACCCUUGAUCCCUCUCCAGCCGUCAGCUUCCCUGCCGCAAAGCCUUGACACCAUUCCACCCACGCAUUCCACCCCUGGCUGGCUUUCCCUCCUUGGCCCUAUCCCUUGCCCAUUAUCCAUUUUGCUCGGCCUAUACAUCCCCCCUCCUCGCCCGGCCCCGGCCCUGUCCCCCACCUUGGAGUAGGCCCAGCCCAUGCGGUCACACAGCUGCAGCGUGUUGAAGCCGCCCACCGCGAACAGCUCGCCGCUGGGCGCCCACGCCACCGACGUGACCGGGUAGUCGAACAGCCCGCUCUGGAACAGCAGCCGCCCAAAGCUGUCCCACACCUGCGGCGUGCAUUCGCACGUGUCAGAGACAGCCGCCGCCGCCGCCGCGGCUCAACCAAGAUUCGCCCCUCGCCAUCCAGCCCUUCUCGCUGUGCGACACCACUCCCGCAUUCUCCCUGCCUGCCUGCCCUCCCUCCCUCGGUGUGCCGCGCACGCACACACACACACACACACACACACACGCACACACACACACACACACGCACACACACGCACAUACACACACACACACGCACACACACGCACACACACGCACACACACGCACACACACGCACACACACGCACACACCUUGUACUUGCAGUCCUCGCCGCCUGUGAUGAUGAGGUGGUUGAUGGGGCUCCAGUCCACCUUGAGCACCACGCCGUCGUGCGCCUUCCACGCGUUCUGCUUGGCGUUGGAGGACAGCGACUUGAUGACCACGUUGGAGCCGGUGCAGUAGCACAGCUGGUCGCAGUCGUAGGCCCACACAAUCGAGUACACGGGGCUGUCCGCCUGCGCUAGCGUGGAGCGCAGCAUGCCGUUGCGCGACCAGAUCUUUACCGACCCGUCCUCGCCCGCCGUCGCCAGUGCCGUCCCUGCGGGUCGAGGUGGGCGGUGGGCGAGUGUUGGGUGGGGGGUGCUGGGUACGGUGGAGGUGUGCUGGGUGGAGUACCGUAUGUGUGGGCUGGAGAGGUGUGUGUGCGUGUGCCCCUGCCCCCAGACGCACCGUCAUAGCUCCAGCGCAGCGAGAUGCACGCGCCCUUGUGCCCCUCAAUGGACUUCUCCACGCGGCCCGUGCGGCUGAGGAUUUUUACAGAGCCUGCGAGGGGAGACGCCGAUGCGUGUUAGCACUGGAACGGGAGGAGGGUCGCCAUAGUUGAGCGGCCCGCCAGGGUACCACACGGCGAGUGCAGCCAACCGGACGCACCGUCUGUGCACGCCACCGCGAAUACGUCCGUCCCGCCUGCUUGCGUCUUCUUCGAGCUCACGGGGUACCAGUGCAUAUCCGUGAAGUAUGCGUCCAGAGUGCUGACCUGCAUGCGCAGAGGGCAUACGAGGGCGCUCGGAACCACGGACGCAUGUCGCAGCAUCUCUGGCGUGGCUUCAGGUGCAAGCAAGGCACACAUGCGAACGCGGCAUGCAAGUUACCUUCUGCUCUGGCUCCCCCAGCAUGUUCCAUUUGUGAAUAGUCUGGUCGUCGCUACAAGUGAACAGUUCAUUCCAGACAUUCCAGCCCACAGCUGCUGUUAAUUCGCUGUGCACAUUCGCGCUGGACUGCUUGACCUUGAGACGCAUCCUGUCUAAGGGGCCCUGCCCCGCGGAAGAAGUUGAUUGCCGCGCCCUUGCAGUAGGCUACAGAUGCAUCGACGUGCCUAAAGGUGCCCCGCUCUAGAGCACGAGUUUGAGGGAGGUUGGUCGCAAGCGAAGGCCGCGCGCACCCGGAAGAACAAUUAGAACGAGCCCUUUCUUGUAAUUUGGCCUGGAAAGCUGAUAGUUAUGCUAUCCUCUAUUCAAUGCUUUCCGCCAGAGCUGCAGGUCGCCAAGCUAGGCUGAGAGAAGUAUGACCCCCAUGCAGUUCGCCGAACAGCCCGGGAAAGCUGGACUGAUAAUAUAAUAGCUUCUUAUGCCUGCUUGUAGGUUAAUUAAAUCUCAACGUCUGCCUUAUGUAUAUGUUGCGCUGUUUACACAGCUGUAUUGACACGACACUUGCACAACCCUCACUAUCAAUCGACAAUGUCAACGUUAAUUGCAACCAUCUACCAAUUAUGGACACAUUAGCAUAACCUCGUAGUACCAAACGCGCAGGCAAAACGAUCGGUUUAGCAAUGGCACUGGCGCGUGCGCUGCUGCUGCUGGCCCUGGUAAGACCAGGGUUUUCGUUGGGAUUGAGCGCAAAGCCUAACUCUCAAGGGAAAAAGGAAAGUUGUGCUUGCCCUCGCGGUGGCUUGCCCGCCAGACACGCGUGUCGAACAGUUCUGUGCGGCUUCAGGGCUCGUCGUCCCUGCCCUUAACCAGUCGUCUGGACCCCUGAAACCAGGCUGUGCUGGUACCACUAGGAGUCGUGACCGGUAAUUUACACGCCGGGGACGCGGGGGACGGCGAUAACCACACGCACAUCUUGUCAAAGGAGCGCAAGUUCGCGCUGACAGAGAGUGCGCCCAUCCAGCUGCGCUGUUCCUCUGCCAAGGGCAGCUGGUGUGAAGGCUUUAUAUCGCAGACGGUAGGCAACCUGGAUGGUGUCUAUGGCCUACGUCUGCGUACUGCCGUAUCAGCCAGGUGCCCUGUGGUCUGUGCUGGCACUGCCGCGGGCCGGGAAAGGCCGACAUGGGUUGUUGCCGCACCGUAUGUUGUCAAGCCGGUUGACUAGUCAGUUGGUAACAACCUUUGGCGCGUGCCGCCGCAGCCUGUCACCUGGAAGACCGCGCCGCGCGGGUCGACCGAGUGCGAGGGCGGCUGCAACAACGUGGGGCGCUGCAACUACGACACCGGCUACUGUGACUGUGCGGCGGGGUGGACGGGGCCGGGGUGCAAGACGCGGCAGAAGCGGCCGUGCACAAACAAACAGAGGUAGGGACUCAGGAAUUGUUUGGAGCGAAGAUAGGGCAGUGCAGUUGUUUCUUGUGAGCCCCCACCGGCGCCCUCGUGUUUCAUUUUGACCUCCCAUCAUCACAAGUGGUCACUCUGUCUUGUGCCUACCUGCACCAUCACCACCACCACCACCACCACCACCACCACCACCACCACCACCACCACCACCACCACCACCACCACCACCACCACCACCACCACCACCACCUCCACCUACACACACCAAGCACCACCACUUAUCGCCCUACCAAUACAUCCGCACACGUACAUACAUACACAGCCACCCCAAUGACGGCGACUUUAUCCGCACCGAGCCGCUGUCGCACACGCUGCCGGACGGGCGCGACAAGGACUGGACCGUCAUGGACACCGUGUACUCGCGAUGCGGAGGUGGGGGCUGAGGUGGGGGUCCCUUCAUCUUUUGCUGCUUGUUACCCGUACACUGCGUAAGCCUGCCCACGGGGGGCCUUGGCCCCUUCCCAAAGGGGAUCACCGCACGCUGGCUGUCCCAAUUGCGCCAGCAGUAGCGCGUGUGCGCCAGCCUACCUACCUGCUUAACCUUCCGGGACCUGCCUCCGCACAGGCAUCUGCGAUGAGGACCUGGCCAUCUGCUACUGCGAUGGCCAGGGCCCGGACCAGUUCGGCCGCAUCCCGGCGCCGGAGGGCUCGCCGCCCGGCACGCCGCCCAUCCGGUGGGGCCGGCCGCUGGUGACGUUCCACAUGGCACCCAAGACCGUGAGUGGUGGUGGGCGCUGUGCCCUGGGGCGAGGGGGUUGCCGCCUGCAUCAGGCUUUGGUCAGUAUGAUACCCUCAGGCUCAAUCGAUGUCAUGGAAGGGACAGAUGAGAGGUACAGCUGGAAAGGUCUGCAACAACGCAUGGAGGGGCCGCCCAACAUUUUUAUGCCGCCUGACCGGAAGCUCCUCAACACGCCCCAACAGACGUGGGACGGCAAGCGCGCGUUCGGCGAGCAUGACUACAACCUAGUGUACGGCCCCAAGGGCUACUGCAACGUCAGCGAGCCGGACUGGGGGCCCAACUGCGGCAUGGACAUGUUCCUGGGUGGGUGAGAGGCCUGGAGGCACUUUGCGACACUCACACACAUCCACACACAUACCAUGGAAACAGCCAGGCUGCACUGCUGGCCUGCUGCUGGGCCCGGCGUUGACCUGGGAGUCCCCGCUGCCGCCCGCAGGGCCGAGGUGCGACAUCCCCAUUGAGCCCUUCUGCCCUGGCGCCUGCAGCGGCCACGGCACCUGCUACCUAGGCUACUGCAAGUGAGUGCCGCGCAUACCAUGAUGCAUGGGGCCUAGUCCGAUUUCUUCUUGUUCUUACAAGCUGUGGCCGCCACAACCGCCCCUGGAAGCCCGCAACCAACCACAAGCACGACACUGUGUGGGUUUAUCGCUGCGGGGUCUCGACAUGCCAUGCUGUUUGCCCCGGGUGGGCUUUCUAAUGAUGAUGGGAAUCUUUCAUUUCCGCCCUGCGCAGCUGUGAAGAGGGCUACUACGGCCACGACUGCGCGCGGCGCAAGGCCGGGAUGCCGCUGCUGCCCAGCCGUAUCCCCACCACACCCUGGCUGGCGUCAGUGGUGCGCGAGCCGCCGGCGGCACUGGAGCCGCCGCCCAGCGCCACCCGCCGCCGGCCGCUCAUCUACGUGUACGACCUGGAGCCGCUGUACCAGGCGCGGAUCCUGCAGUACAGGUGCGGUUGAGACUGCCGCAGAGCUACGCAGUCCUGCCUGCCUGCAUGCCGUGUGACUUGGCACGGGUGUGAUGACGACAUUCCGGCGAGAGGCGAGAACUUAGCUACGAGGACCAAAGCACGGGCUGAUGGACGCGUCAAAGCAGGGGGUCAGGAGGUGUAAACCCUAAACCUGACUAAUCACGGUAACGUACGCAUCGUGCGUGUGCAUCGUGCAUAAACUUGCCUGCAACCCCGCCUUUCUGCUUCCGGCCCUGCCGCUGCACCCCUCAGGGUGUCUCCGCCCUGGUGUGUGUUCCGGCGCCACGAUCUACCCGCCAACCGCACCGAGUGGAGCGACAUGUGGGUGUACGCCGCAGACACGCUGCUGCACGAGCUGCUGCUGGUCAGCCCCCACCGCACCUUCGACCCCGAGGAGGUGAGGGGAGGGCGGGAAUGGGCGCGUGCGUGCGCAUGGGUGUGGAUGGGUGUGUGCCUGCGUGCGCGCAUGUACCGUACAUGCAUGUGCAUGGGUGCGCAUGGACGUGUGUGGCCCGGCGGUAGGGCCCCGGGACAGCGAGGGCAUUACCGGUAUACUUAUGCGACUUGACGAGGUGGCAACUCAGGUCAAUCAAUGCUGCUGCGCCGUGUGCCCGCAGGCCGAUUUCUUCUACGUGCCCCAUCAGGCCUCCUGCCUGCCCUUCCCCAUCGGUGAGCCUAGCGCUGCUGCUGCUGAGGAUGCGCGGGUGUGCCCGUGUCCCGGCUGCGUAUUUGUGUGUAGGGGGGGCCUGUCGCUCGCAUCCGUGACCGCCAUUUGCCUCGGGACUUACAUAUAUUCACAACUACAACUGGUGUGUGGUGCGUGUGCAGGCAACUGGGCGGACUGGCCCUGGUUCAAGGGGCCCGGGGGUGAGUGGGGUGCGGGGCGCGUUGUGCCGUGACUGUCCAUGCACCGCCCAGCCGGCUCUCCGCUGACGUGACUUCUCGGGACCCUGCACCGCCGCCUUGCUCCCAAUGUCCCUUGGCCCUAAUGCCAAAAUCCCACGCCACCGGAAGGCUCGCAACCCUCAUCUGCACACGGCCUGUCGCCCGCUGCCCGCUCCCGCCUGCCCCAGGUCCCCGCAUUCGCCAGAUGCUCAACAUGAUUAUGGAGACACGGGACUGGAUCGACCAGCACUACCCGUAGGUGCCGGUCAGGGGGAGACAACGUGUAUAUGUCGGUGUGUGUUGGGAUUGAAAGCGUGCGGGGUCGAAGCACGGGGCAUUCGGUGCCAGCGCUGGCGACCAAGCGCGAAGGUCCUGCUGCGCCGCGAUCCUGGGGUAUAUUUUGGACAGAUGGAGAUUUGUACCGCCUCUGAACGGGUACCGUAUGCUGCUGUGUGGGCACAGGUUCUGGAAGCGGCGGGGCGGGCGGGACCACAUCUGGACCUUCACGCACGAUGAGGGCGCCUGCUGGGCACCCAAUGUGCUCAACACGUCCAUCUGGCUCACGCACUGGGGCCGCAUGGACCCGGAUCACACGUGAGAUGCUGCCGCCCAUGUGCUUAGCAAACACAAGAUAUUAUAUGUGCGUGUUUGCAUAUGUGUCCUGUGGAAGGUAGUCUCCUUCGCCCCUUGCCGGCCCUUCCGUUGCUGGGCCCGGCUUCUGCACCGCCAGCCCCCACAGCGGCUGACCUACCAGGCCGGGGCCCUCCUCCCAGGUCUUUGGUAUGGAGUCUGUGCAAUGCUGCGCCCUUCCAACAUCGCCUUCUCCUAACUACUCAUGCCUGGAACCCCCCCCCCGCUUUUGUGAGGCCUGACCUCAAACCCCUGCUGCUCCCGUCUGCCCCUGCCGCUCCUCCUGCGCCUGCCGCUGCCGCCGCCCCUCCCUCUCUCCCCGCCUUUCAGGAGCAACACCGCCUUCGUGCCCGACCGCUACGACCGCGACUUCAAGAGCGCCUACCAGCCGGAGGGCUACCGAGUGCACAUGCAGGGACACCCCUGCUACCGGCCCGGACAGGUGCUUGAGAGCGUUGGGGCGCGCAGCACACGGCUGGCGCGUGCUUGUGUGGGCCUUUUGCAGGGCGUGUGUGCGUGUGCGCGGGCGCGCUUUGACUGGUGGGGCUGUGGUGCCGAAGCGCAUUCGCCCGCCUGCUGCUUGUUUCAAACCAUUACUGCGUCGCGCAACUGAACACGAACCUUGUGGUUUUGGGCCCCGACCUGCAGGACCUAGUCAUCCCAGCUUUCAAGGUGAGCAAUGCUUAUUGGGUAUCGCCGCCGGUUUUGUGGAUGCGUGGGUUCACAGCACCCUCGCCCUGUUCAGUUCCUUGGCUGUCGUUCUUACUACCCGCACCCCUUCCGCGCCCAUCCACAGCGUCCCGACCACUACCGUGCCAGUCCUCUAGCAGCCGCGACCUCCAAGCCUAGAGGUGAGCCAGGGCUAGUGGGCCGCAAGUGGCGGUGAUGCUUGCGAUGCCGACACGAUUCGCGUUGGGUGAUUGAUGUUAGGGCAGGAGUGUGGCGUGGAAAGCGACCACAACCGCGUGGCAGUACACGUGCUGACAAGCUCAUGCCGUGCCUGGCCCAUCCUGCGUUGCAGAUAUCUUCUUCUUUUUCCGAGGAGGUAGGUGUUUUGGUUUUCGGUUAGGACUGCUUCAGGGGCAAUCGGGAGUGAUGCACAUGCCUCUGCCAAUCUAUCGACAACUUUUGCCUUUACAGACGUGGGAAAACGCCGGUUACCAAACUACAGCCGAGGAAUCCGGCAGAAGGUGCGUCUCCCUGUGGACUCCCUUGCACCAGCACACACGGUCCACGGGCCCCUGCCCCCCGGGUGCACAGUUGCUGUUUGUUCUUUACCGUACCCCGCCGCCAACUCCUCUUGCACCACCACCACCGAUUCCACAUCCUCCCGCAUACCUGGGCACCUUCCAAAUAUUAGUCCAACACACACACACACACACACACACACACACACACACACGCACACACAUACAUGCACACACACAUGCACACACACACACUCACUCACACACACACACACACACACACACACACGAGCUCACACACAGGUGUACCAGCUGGCCAAGGAGGGCGGCUGGCGCGGGCAGCACCGCUUCCUGGUGGGCGACCCCGAGGAGCUGCCCGGCGACUACUCCGACAUGCUGUCCAGGUCGCUGUUCUGCCUGGUGGCCGCGGGUGAGGGGGCUGUGAAUACCAGCCCAGGCUAAAGCAAACCAAGCAAGGCUAGCGGAGCGGAGCACAGGCAGAGGCGGGCGGGCGGGCGACGGGUGGCCGCGGGGGGAGGGCAGUGACGGCGGCGGCGGCGGCGGCGGCGGCGGCGUGUGCAUUGGCGAGGCAUUGCCGUGGGCGGCUGCGGGCGUGGCCGUGGGCGGAGCGGGACCGCAGUGUCGGGUGUGUGUACGCGGAAGUCGGCUACUAUGCAGCAGUCAACUGGUCGUGGGGGCCCGAAGUGCUGAGCGGGCUCUGCCUUUGUUCUCAGGUGACGGCUGGUCUGCUCGGCUGGAGGACGCCGUGCUCCACGGCUGCAUCCCGGUCAUCAUCAUCGACAAUGUCCAUGUCGUGUUUGAAAGCAUCCUGGUGCGUCGUGCACGGCGGUUCUUGUGCGGCGGGGCUACAAGCCACUAAAAGCAUUCAUGUGGCAGCCUUCCGCUUGUCGACUAAAGCUUCAUUGGCCUGGAUCCUCAUGAACAACCCGGAUUGCACUUGUUGACGCCGCUCGCACACAUCACUUGUGUGCCGUAAGCCCGUAACCCCACCCACUGCCUGGACCCCCUCCCCCACUGUUUAUGUCACUUCCAGGACAUUGACUCCUUCUCGGUGCGCAUCGCCGAGGCGGACGUGGACCGCAUCCUGGAGAUCCUGCAGGCCAUCCCCGAGCGCAAGAUCCGCUUCAAGCAGGCGCACCUGGGCCACGUGUUCCACAGGUGGGCGGUCCAACGUGGUAAAUCACUCGGUGUGGGGGCGCAGAAAGCGGCGGCAGCUGCCAGCUGAUUGCUUGCCUUGGCGGAUGUAUGGGGGCAGCACGGCGGAUGGGACAGCACGGCGGCGGCCGCAGCGGGUCUUCUGAGGGUGGAAAGGGGCGCCGGCAAGAGCCCGGCCGGCGCGGGCUGAGCCGGCGACGUUGGCAGGUGCGGCCCGCAUGUCGCGGGUCCACACGUCGCUGUCACCGCACCCUGCACUCGGAGGACUUACUUCAUGGGGCCAACCCCAAACUCCCACAGGUACCGCUAUGCCGCGCUGCCCGGCCUGGAGAACAACCUGCGGCAGCUGAUGAACACCAACGAGGCGGCGGCGUCGGCGCCGCCCAGUCCGCCCGCACAGCGGGGCGGAAUCAACUUCGUCACUGGCAGGGAGACGAGCAGCGCGGCCGCUCACCCUGGCUUUGACAUCCACCUGCCGCGCCCCUUCAAGGGUGACCCGACAGUGGAUGACGCGUUCGCCACCAUUAUGCAAUGGCUGCACUCGCGGAUACCCGACACGCGUGGCGAAGGCGGCGGGGCAGCUUCAGGUGCGGGGCGGUGACCUUGGUGGUGAGCGGUGACGGUCCGUGUUGGUUUGAGUAUAGCUGCUGGGCUCAAACCGUAGCGCUGCUUAGUGCUGCUAACUGUAGACGAAUUCAUCCAAUAUGCGUGGAGGACUGGAAGGGGCAUGGAACGUGGUCGGGCACCUGUUGUCAUGUGAUGGGCGAUACCGCGACAGCAGGAGGGAUCACGGCGGAAGGAGCUUGCAGGUUGCAAACUGAUAAUGUCAAUAGAGCAUUGCACGCCCCGGGUAGGCGGUCUCUCUUAAGCUCUGUCGGACGUCGGCGGGGCAUAGGCUCGAUUGAACACGGGUACGAGGAAGGGGAUGCUUGCGUGUCCUGGGCGUCACUGUGUCCGCGUGUAACGUUACAAAUGUCUGCAAUACUAUUAGCUGACACAAACAAGAACGUAAAAGCAGUUCAUUUACUGUCUGCUCAGCCUGCAGCCCGUGCCUGCACUCGGACGGCAGUAGCGCGCUGUGAAAGUGGAUUUGGAUGACGAGUUCAUCAAUGAUGCAUAGAGCUUAACCUUUUGACUCCUGGCUCGAAUUUGACCUGACAUACACGGGCAGCGACAGCGAUGGCGAAGCUGUCACCGUUCGCGCGAGCCCGCUGGCGACUCAGACAAUGGUGUUUGUUACUACAAGUCACACAAUUGGUCAUCGCGGUUCAGCCAGGAGGAGUGGGCCAACUUGGCGGCCAACAGCAGGAGCGGCCGUGGCAGGUGUGUGGGAAGGUGGGCAGACGUUUCGUCAGCACCAGCUGACGCUCCUGCGCUUUCCUCGACAAGCCAGGGGGCGACGGGAAUUCACCUAUCCCUCUCAAUCCUUCCUUCAGUGCCUUGUUUGUGACCAGCCCCACACGCUCGUGCCCAUGCCAGCUGGGAGAGGACACCCCUGUGCAGACUCGUUGCGCGAAGACCAAAGGCACGUGGUGCACGGAUUUCUUCGGCCAAGCGGUGAGCUUUUACUUGGGAUUGGACGUUAAGUCACACUAGUAGCUUGCAGAUUACCAUCGCGGACGAGCUAUGGGACUGGCAGAAGGCGGGCGGGUUGUGGCAGCACCUAAAGCGGGAAAUCGUUUGCAUUGGACGUAGGUAUACAAUAGCUUACGCCCGCCUUUUGUCAACUACCGUAUGCUAUGGGCUGCAGCCUGUCACCUGGAAGACCGCGCCGCGCGGGUCGACCGAGUGCGAGGGCGGCUGCAACAACGUGGGGCGCUGCAACUACGACACGGGCUACUGCGACUGUGCGGCGGGGUGGACGGGGCCGGGGUGCAAGACGCGGCAGAAGCGGCCGUGCACCAACCACUUCCGGUGCGUAGAUCGUAGCGCCUUGCUACAGAUUCAUUGGAGAUGUGUAAACAAGCGCCACACAAGUGCCACACGGCGCAUGCACUACAUGCGUUUGCAGCUGAUGUGCAUCGGGCUGCGGAUGGGCUGGUACGGAGAUGGGGGUGGGCACCAGCAAGCUCGGACACACGGCGCGCAGCACCAUGCCCGCACAUGCACACACACACACACACACACCAAGCACCACUGCGCACGCACACACUUCCGCAGGACGCCGGAGGACCCCAGCACCGAACCCAGGUCGCACAUCGGUCCGGACAAGCGGGACUUGAAUUGGACGGAGCCUGGCGUCACGCCCAGCCGCUGCUACGGUGAGAGGCCCGGCGCCGCCAUGGGCCGGGGCGUGCGGCGUGCGGCCUAUGACUGCGUUUACUUGUAGGCUCGACUGUGCUGCGUGGCUCGACUGCAUAUCACAUGUAUCGAAUAUCGGGUACCCCGUGCGGGUACCUGCAGACCUACCAUUGAAUCCUAUGCAUCGGCGAGGGAGCAAGCCAUGGCAUGUGUAUCAGGCAUCGGGCACUGGUAGGCGCUACCCCACGCUCAACCCCCGCACACACCCGGUCACACCUGUAUGCAAGUCUGCGAGAUGUAUGACCUCUCCCACUUUGUCACCAACCCCGAAGGCGUGUGCGAUGAUGACUUGGGCUUGUGCUACUGUGACGGGCCGCUGGGGCGCAUCCCCGCACCCGACGACGCGCCGCCCGGCACACCGCCGCGGCGGCGGGGCCGGCCGCUUAUGAACCAGUUUGAGCAGCCCACCACGGUAGGCUGGGGGGGGGCUGCGUGGGUGGGCUAUGAGGGGCGGUUGCGAACAGGGCGGAGGGGCAUGGGUCCAGUGCUAAGGGGUGGGUGGAGCGCAUGGGUGGGGCGGGGCGUUCCUGGUAUUCAUAACUGGGGGCUGGUGCAGCGUUGUGCUUGACGUAUACACACACACACACACACACACACACACACACACACACACACACAUGCAUCGCAUACACUGUCUUUGCGCAACGUUUUCCUUGUGCUCUUUAACACACACACACACACACACACACACACCACGCACGCGCGCGUCGUACAUGCCAUGCCGCCGCCUUGCUGAUCCGCUGCAGACGUACGACGGCAAGCCCACGUGGGGCGGAGGGACACCCUAUGAGAAGGUGUACGGACCGGAGGUGAGCACAAGGAGCAAGACCGCAUGCUCCAAUUCCCAGCACACAUCUCGAGAGAGUCCCAAAACUCGGCACAUUGUCGUCUAUCGCUGCCGCUACUGCUGCCAAUCCAUUAUGCCACCCCGCCUAGUUGUCCCUGCCAGCACUCCCACGCUGGCAACCCCGCUGUCCUCCCUCGCCUAUUCGGAUCAAACAUAUAGCAACACGACCCGCUCUCCUUGUCAUUUGCCGUACACGUAGACUCUCGCACGCACAUUCACCUACAGUGCUCGCGACGCGCUUUCCUUGCUUGCACAAUUCUCUGCACCCAUGCACACACAGUAUCGACCCCCUCCCUGACUCCCUUCUCUUAUCACCACCGCACACACAGGGCUACUGCAAUGUGACCCAUUCGCCUUGGAAGCCCAAUUGCGGCGGGCCCGAGGACCUGGGCGGCGACUACUGCGACCAGCCCAACGAGGCAUUCUGCCCGGGCGGCUGCAGCGGGCAUGGCGCCUGCAACCUGGGCUUCUGCAUGUGAGUGGGAGUGGGGUAGGCGAAAGCCAUCCUGGUUAUACUGACACCGGGUUGUGUAUGCAUAGGCUGUGUUUUGUGUUUGUGGCGGCGGUGGUGCUGCCGGGAUGCGGGGGUGCCGGGGGUGUGCUGGCGCAGACCCCGGCAUCAGGCGCGGCUUUGGGUGUUUGAUGGUGCUGAGAUCUCCACACACUGGUUGAGCGCGCCGGCCCCGCACCCCCGCAACCCUGCACAGCUGCGAUGAGGGCUAUUAUGGCCACGACUGCGCGCGGCGCAAGGCUGGGAUGCCGCUGCUGCCCAGCCGCAUCCCCACCACGCCCUGGCUGUCACGGGAGGUGCACGAGCCGCGGGCAGCGCUGGAGCCGCCACCCAGCGCCACCCGCCGCCGGCCGCUGAUCUACGUGUACGACAUGGAGCCGCUGUACAACGCCAAGAUGCUGCAGUACAGGUAGGGACGUACAGUCAGCAGUGCAGCACGGGGUCAGUGAGCCAAAGACAUGCGCCUCCACACAUGCCCCCCUGGCCCUGGGCCCCUUGGGCCCGCUCCGCUUGUCACGCGUCAGCUUUGCCCCAUGGGCCCCGGUCCAGUUGGCAUUGGAGACGACUCGGCUCGCCCCCCCCCCCCAAACCUGCAGGUUGGCGUCCGCCUGGUGCACGCACCGGUUCUACACCAGCGGCAACGGGACUGCCUACUCGCCGUGGUGCUAUGGCGUGGAGAGCGGUGAGGUGCAGCAGCUGCUCAGCACGCCACGCCGCCAUCCGCAGGCAUGCCUUCGCCCCCGGUUGGGGAUCGAACUGUCUUGCUUUCCCCCUGCCCAGCCCCUCCACACACACGCGAGCAGGCCCCCGCCCUUUCUCCCUGCCCGGGCCGCUGACCACACUACCGCUGUGCAACAUCAACGCUGCCGUGUGCAGGCCUGCACGAGUACCUGCUUCUGAGUGAGCACCGCACGUUUGACCCCGAAGAGGCCGACUUCUUCUACGUGCCCGUGUACAUCUCCUGUCUCAUCUGGCCCGUGCUCAACUACGCCGAUUUCCCCGUCUUCUACAGCAACGGAGGUGCGUGGGUGCGUGCAUGGGUGCGCUCUAUGUUUCGCCUUACCACUGGCCACAAGGGCUGUGCCCCGGGCUGCACCUCCGCAGUGCAUCAGACGCAGGGCGCACCUGCCAUGGUGGCUCGGAUCGACACGACGCUGAGUCACAGCUGACUCACAGCUGAGUCACGCACGUGUGUACACGCCCGCAGGCACGCGUGUGAUGCAUGCCGUGAACAUGCUGUCCGAGGCGCGUGACUGGAUCGACGCCAACUACCCGUUCUGGAAGCGGCGGGGCGGGCGGGACCACAUCUGGACCUUCCCACACGACGAGGGCGCCUGCUGGGCACCCAACUCCAUAGUCAGCUCCAUCUGGCUCACGCACUGGGGCCGCAUGGAUCCGGAUCACACGUGAGAUGCUGCUGCCCACGCGAUUAGCAAACACAAGGAAAUUCCGCGCGUUUGCAUGUGUGUCCUGUGGAAGGUAGUCUCCUUCGCCCCUUGCCGUCCCAGUAUCACAUGUAAGCUUGACGGCGGACUCGGCAUUCUGUAGGGUGUGCAGGCCAGAGAAGGUGCGUGUGGCAGCGCCUGCGUGAAAGCACGGCGUGUUAUGUUCCUUAGCCGUGCUGAGCCCCGGGUACUGGUGGCUCGGUUUCCAAUUGCAGGAGCAAAUCAAGCUUCGACGCAGACAACUACACCAGGUGUGUGCGCGUGUGGGGGGGGGGGAAUCCCAAUCCCAACUAAACCACGACCCAGAACCAGCGCGCGGCGGGUGCCAGGCUGCGGGUUGCACCGCACCAUAGCGGCCGCAAGGGAUGUACGGCACAGAGUGUCGUGGCCUCGUGGGCCUUCUAUUAGGCGGGAAGGUGCAUUCAACUCAACCCUAGACCUUCCUUGCUCGAUGUGCCGCCGUGCCUGCCAGGGAUUUCGUGAGCCCCCGCCAGCCCAAGGGCUACACACAUCUCAUUCAGGGGCACGGGUGAGUGCCGCGCCCGCAACCCUGCGGGGCGCCACAUGCCAGGUUGCGCACGAUGGGCAAUGCGACAAUGCGCUUAGCUUGCGUUCGCUUGUUGCAUAAGCGUCCGUGUUUUGUCUCGUAACAAGCUGAUCGCAUCCCUCCUACAUACUCUCCUCCACACAUCUGCAGGUGCUACGAUCCAAAAAAGGUGGGUGCAGCGCCGCGACCCACUCCUCCUGUCGUCCACCCCGCCCCACCCCCCUUUCCGCUCGUGGCCCCUUGUCCACCCCACCCCAUCCCCCCCACCCCCGUUCCGCUCGUGGCCCCUCUUCACUGCGCCCUCCUGUCCGGCUAUCCCGCUCGCCCUUCUUCCACAGCCUGAGCUCGAGGCCACUCCUCCGCUCUAGCCCGCAUCGAACUGCUACUCAUUUACUCCAGCCCGCAUCAAAUCGCAGUCUCUGCCGCCCCUCAUUGAGCUUAGAACCGACUGCCGUAUCCCCCUCCUGUCUCCCCCCCUCCCGCCCUCCCCGCCCCCCCCCCCACACACACACACAAGCACAGGACCUGGUCAUCCCCAUCUGGCGCCCGCCGCUGCACUACGCGCGCAGCCCGCUGCAGGGAGCGCCCGCCAAGCCGCGGGACAUCUUCCUGUUCUUCCGGGGGGACGUGGGCAAGAAGCGCAGCAUGCUAUACAGCCGCGGCGUGCGGCAGAAGGUGCGCGCGCGUGUAUGGGUGUGUGUGUGAGUGGGUGGGUGGGUGGGUGGGUGGGUGGGUGGGCGGGUGAUUCUGAUGUAAGGGGACUGUGCCUGUGCGGACACAAGGAAAGCGCAUACCGGAAGCGAGGAUACGCACAUGCGUUGCGCGGGGCCGGGGUUGUGCAGGGCUUCCAUCGCCUAUCGCGCCAGCCCGCAGCCGGUUGGCUGUUCGGCCCACUGGUCCCGACCGAGGCGCUGCACUGCAGUCGUGUUAAUGCCGGUCGAUGCUGGAUGUUGGCUGCUCGCAGAUCUACAACAUGAGCAUCGCCAACAACUGGAGGCAGAAGUACAACGUGUUGGUGGGCGACGGCCAGGAUGUGCAGGGGGACUACUCGGACCUGCUGUCGCGCUCGCUCUUCUGCCUGGUGGCCACAGGUAGGUGGGCGGGCGGGUGGGCGACCGGGGGCAUGGAGCUAAUGCUGCCGGGCUGCAACAGGGCCCUUGUCCGCACUCAUGCGGCGGCAAGCACUCUUGCGGCUGGGACCCCGCUGCGAGCGCAGCCCUCCUUUCUCCGGACUCCUUUCUAACACAAUCACUACAAUCACCCCUGCCUGCGCUGUACAGCUGCACAUUGCCCAAACCAAACCGCAAGUCCACAUACAUCUCCCGGGACUUUUUCCUUGUCGCACACGCUCCUCGCCAGGCGACGGCUGGUCAGCGCGCACCGAGGAUGCAGUGCUGCACGGCUGCAUCCCGGUCGUGGUGAUUGACGGUGUGCACAUGAAGUUUGAGACGCUGUUUGACGUGGACUCCUUCUCCAUUCGCAUCCCUGAGGCCGACGUCGCCAACAUACUCACCAUCCUGAAGGCGCUGCCGGAGGAGCGUGUGCGCGCCAUGCAGGCCAACCUGGGUCAGGUCUGGCACAGGUAGGUGUGCACGCGUGUGUGCGGGUGUGUGUCUUGUUGAGACGCGGAACACGUGAAUACGCACUCACAAACACGUAUGAAUACAUUCCCUGCCCACACACACACACGCACACACAAACACUUGUACACACACACACACGCACACGCACACACACACAUGCGCACACACACACACUCUCUCUCACACACACUAUCACACGUACGAACUGGCAGGUACCGCUACGCCGACCUGCCCGGCAUCGCCGACACCACCCGGGCCACCCAGGCCAGCAACGCCGCCGACCCGCUGGUGAGGGAGGCGGCGGAGCUGAGCAAGUCGGCAGAGCCGCGCUUCCCGCGGCCCUUCCGCGGCGACCCCGCGGUGGAUGACGCGUUCGCCACCAUCAUCCAGUGGCUGCACUCGCGGAUACCCGACACGCGGUGAGCGUGGCGCGUGACGAGGCAGUACGGGGGUGCUUGGUACGGUAAUGGGCGUGCCGGGCAGGUCGCCAUGCAUGGAGGAUUGGGAUACAGAGCGUGGCGAUAAAGUGGUUAGGUGGUGUUGGGCUGUUUAUGCCUGGGUAGGCGGACGCGUGGUGCCGUGCGUGGUGCUGCUUUGCGCAAUACCAGUAACAAGUAUAGGGAAUGCGAGCGUGUGCGUGCUUAAGAGUAUUACUGUGUAUUAUUACUUGAUGGGGGCAUGCAUAGGAUGCGUGUUAGAGUAGAUUUCAGUAGACGAGGUACGCAGGAAUUGGCAGGAUGGGCAUCCGUAAAUCUUGGAUUCUUUCCGGCGAAGUGGCUGUGCUCAAACCAGGACGGUCUGAUGCUCCAGGCCGGGCUGAUGGUGGCAUGCUGAGUCCCGCCUGGAAGCAACGUGAUACGGUGACAGCUGCAAGCCUGCAACUACUGCUGCAGGGUUUGGCAAGCGGACACGAACUGACAUCAUGUGAUGACGAAGAACGCGUGCGCGCGCGUGCGUGUGCGUGCGUGUACGCAUGUCCAUGACUGCACGCUGAUGCUCUGGCGUCGAUCUGCUACGACUGCUAGUACGGCAUUCUUGGCUUGCCCGUGAGCACUGCGAAGUUUGAACACGGCCAGCCGCGCGCAUACUAACGUAGUUCACCUCUUCCGCACAUUGGCGCUCAAUGCUUAAACCCGUGUGCAACGCGUUGCAGCAGGGUCCCCUGCCGCACUCCGCACUUAUUCCCUACGUUACAGUGUCACCGGUUUUGCGCACUUGCUGCCCACAGCUCAAAGCCCGGGCAUAGUCCCGUGCACACACAUAUCUCUUUACCUAGAAAUUUUCCUAGAAAUUUUCCUAGAAAUGCCAGGCUUUGCCCCCUCUGCAACAAAGGAGUAGAGGAUGAACGGCAUGUUUUACUUGAGUGUGAAGCGUACACGUGUGUCAGAUCAACGUACGGUAUCAACUCUGAUUCAAUGAAGCUGGUUAUGCAAGGUGCUGACCAAUUUAAGUUGGCUUGCUGCGUACGUGAUAUUUGGUCUAAGCGCUGUCUUUUGAUUAGGCAGCACCACGACGGUGCACACGGUGUGCAAGACGCAACUAACAAUCCAGUUCCAGGAGACGAGGGGCCCUUGCGGCUCGGUUAGUCUCGUUGCAGGUAUUAGGAAUGCACACUUCCAAUCCUGUAACACACACACACAUAUCUCUCUCCCUCACACACGACCUCCGUAGCCUCAAGUCCCACGCCUAGUGCCUGGCUCCCACCGCCAGAGUCGAAGCCAGAGCGGAUACCGUGUCGCAACCUACCCACUGGAAGGCGGUAAAUGCACCGCAUGAAACAACACACACACACACACACACACACACACGGCAUCAACAUGGCAAUCCCACGCUCAUCCAUUUACCCACACAUUCAACCACACACGCUUGUCCAGGGACUGUAUCAGCAGCGCUGGGCAGCCGCCCAUGGCUUGUGUGCGCUCGGAGGCAUUCGCGCCGCCGCCUGCUGAUUGCGGGCGCUGCCGCUGCUGUGGCAUGACAGCCGUGAAAGUCCCUCAGUCCUGCCCCUGACCAGCAGCAGCGGCGGCGUCCUCGCCUGUGUGCCCAGAUGCCCGCACUGAGGGCCUGCCCACGCACCCACUGCGCCACCCGAGCGACCGCCGCUGGUGACAACACCCUGCCAUCAUGCGCGCACCACUACCUGACACGCAACCCCGCCGCCGCCACCGCCGGCCGCCGCCGCCGCCGCCGCCACCGCCGGCCUUGCCUGCCAUCCGUCUUUUACUGCAGCCAGCUUGAUUGGCGUCUUCUUACAGCGCGCAAAUCAGCAUGCCACCAAAGCUUACACACACAUCUCAGUCAGGGCAGAAUGUGCUCCGCCAGAGCGCCCGCCGUAACGAAUCCUGGCGAAGCCACAGUACCUCCGCACCAUGCUUCCCAACCUUAUGACCGUGGGAUGAACAUCCAAUCUGGCGCGUCCAACGUGCCAACUGACCUUCUGCCAAUCGAUGUCCAAUGCUCCACACACAAUGCUGAAGUGCUGUGACAUGUACACACACAUUCAAUUCGUCCAAUUUGAUGCAGGUUCCUUGUCCAAUUGACAGUACACAGUGUCGCCCUCGCCACGCUGCCACCAGCCGCUGUGUGCACACAACGCAUAGCGCUACCGUCGCAUGGGGUCCUGCACCAAGGGAACAGGGAAUACGAGCGUCAGGGCCUGGGGUUGCCACGACCCGUCGCGCGUGUCGGUGGGUGCAGCCACACCCAGCCUUGGUGCCUCCCGUCAGCAACCCUCGGGUUCCCGCGCCUGCACUCACCUGGUUUCCCCCGCCUGCUGGUUGUAGCGACGCAACUUCCGUUUUCAAGAGCUGGUUUUCGGAGGAUACGGCACUCAAGCACUUAGCCGCGCGCGCCAGCUGGGUCAGGAGCAGGGCGUUGUCUCGCCGGAGGGCGCCAACGCGUGCCUGCAGCUCCAGGAUGUGCUCCUGCACCGAGCCUCCAUACUGCAGGGGCAGUGCCAUACGUUUGUGUUGUCGCGCUAAGUUGUAAGUGUAUUUGAGGACUCUGGCACACAGAAAUCGCCAUUCUGCUAUCUGCGCAGCCCCCUCGCACCUGGGUUUGCAUCGCUGCUAGUUCGUCGAAGUUAAUGCUACAAUCAGAAGGGCGCGCAGGGUCAGUGUCGCGGGUAACAGCGACAGGUCAAGGGGCGGUCAUUCCAGAACUGCCGCUCACCCGCCGCGCAUUUGCUCUGGCAUCAUGCCUCUUCCAGCCAUUGUUGCAUACCCUGCUUAAGAGCAACAAUGAACUGAAGCGUCGCAACUUCAGUUAGUCGACGGCACCGCAAAAUUGCGCAUUCGCUAUGAUGCCUAUUAUGAUGAUGUUGAAUGUUUCAGGGAAACUUCAAGAGACUAUUUUUAAAGGCAAGACCGCGAGUGUUCGCAGAAGCGGUUAGGUCUACUGCAUGCAUCUGCGCAAACUGGCUCUCUGCAUGCAAUACCCUUGUCGCGAGUCAUUUAUACGGCACAACAUCAGUAGAUGGUACUGUAAGCAUAGGACAGGCUGAGUCGUGGUGACCUAAGGCGCGCGCGUCUCGAGCAUGUGGCAAAAGCCCAGUGCGCCUCCAAAGCAAUGCCCUGGAUUGCAGCUGACCACAAGAGGGAGGAAGGAGCUGCAGGAUGCAUAUCCGCGGCUUGAAAGCCUGUCUUUCCCGCGCAACGAUUGCGGCAAGACCGUGGAGCUGGCCUGUGGGCGCCGGCUGGGCUACUGUGAACACGUCGACCCAAACACGCCCACCGCCCAGCUGCGCAACGUCGUUCUCCUGCCGGGUACGUGAGCGGAGCUUUGGUUUGGAAGGCUUGUCAUGUGCGCGUGCUUAGUCCUGCGGCAUGGGGGACGCCGUGGCUGAUGAAAGGGCACACCUUGCCGGCACAGCACUGAACUCCUGCGCGUGGCUUCGACCCACAACCCCGUACAGGAGUGCCCGGAAGCCGUCUCUUCACUCACCCCUCAAUCACGGCCACUGGCUUUGUUCCCGGCUGGCGCCUGGUGGUGUUGGAGCGGCCAGGCCUGGGGCUGAGCGAUGCACCGCCUGAAGGCUAUACGUAUACACAGUUUGCGGCUGACUUCAGGUGGGUCGCAUGUUCACAAUACCGCAGUUGUGGUGGCAGGUGGGGUAGUGGCAUCAUAGUAUAAAGGCUAGGUGGCAGCCCGUAUCGUCCGUGGAACGGAGCAACGAACGGCCUUUCGCCAGUGGGAGUGUGGGGGCGUACAUGGGGUGACGUGUGGAGCUCGGGUGUGUGCUGACACGAGGAGCGCAUUGUAAGAACAUCAUCACCAUAGAUGUGACCCACACAUACACAUACACAUACACACAUGCGUCUUCGCUGUUGUUUCUCCUUGUGCUCUCUAACACACAUACGGUACGUAAACUGCCGCAGGGAGUUCUGUCAACUGAUGGGGCUGCGGCGUGUGGCGGUCAUUGGAUUCAGCGCCGGUACGCCCUUCGCCACAGCCAUCGCCUGCACAUGCCGAAGCGAUGCAGCAGGGAGCGCGGCGGCGGCGGGCGGGGUCACGGAUCCUGCUGCUGCCACGCUUGCAGCGGGUGCGGUGGAGGUGCAGGUGGCAGGGAGCGCUGGCGCGGAGGAGGAGGCCGGCCCGCCGGUCGUAGUUGCUGGCGUGGCUCUGGUUUCAGCCAUCGGACCCCCCGACACGCCCAACAAGCGGCAAGGCAUGGCAAUGCUGUUCCAGGUGCGAGACAGCGACGAAGAUCUAGCCGUACCCUUGAAGAAUUACAGCAAGGCUACCGUAUCCUUGACUAGGCAUUGCGAGACAAGAGUUCUCGCUCAGAGCCUGUUGCCGCCGUGUCUACGUGCGCCUCCGCAGUUCGCCUACUGGGCCUGCGCCUACGCGCCGUGGCUGGUGGGGUUCAUUGUGCGGUCGGAGGCGGCGGCGCUGCGGCGGCGGCCGGUGCACGCCAUGCGCGAGGCCUUCAAGCCCUACAGCGGCGCGGCGGACGUUGCGGCGCUCAAGCGGCCAGAGGUGCGAUUGGGCUGUGUGCUGGGGAGGACGAGCGGGCAGGCGGACGGUGGUCGGCGUCCUCUCCCCUGCUCCUCUCAAGUCCUUUCCCUACGGUUUCCAUGCAUGUUUCUUUCAUAUUCCUCCGCACGCUCUCGCACGCCCCCCCGCUCACUCCUGUGCCCACUCCUGCGCCCCCUCCCCUCUCCUCCCCCCUGGGUCCGCAGGUGGAGGCGGCGUUCCUGGAGAGCGGCCUGGAGCUGUACAGCCGCGGCCAGGAGGCGGCGGUGCUGCGCGAGAACCUGCAGUUCGCGGCGGCGCCCUGGGGGCUUGACCUGGGCGCCUGCAGCACCCGCGUCGCCAUCUGGCAGGGUGGCCAGGACCGCGGCUGCACUGUGCCCAUGGCGCAGCACCUCGCGCAGCAGCUGCGGGGCAGCAGCGGCGGGGGCGCGGGCGGCAGGGCAGGAGGUGGCGAGGGUGAAGCUGGAGCAGGCGGGGGAGGUGGAGGCGGUGGGGGCGGGGGCGGGGGCGAGGCAGGCUCUGCAUCCCCGGCAGCUGCAGCUCCAGCCAUGCAGGGGGGUGGGGCCAAGCCGGAGGAGCAGCAGGGGAGGGAGGGGCAGGAGGGGAAGAAGGAGGGGCAGGCGGAGGAGCGUGUGCAGCUGCACGUGCUGCCGGACCAGGGGCACAUGCUGUACUUUGACGUGUGGGGCCAGGUGGUGGCCUGGGUGGACGAGUGCUUGGCGAGCCGUUGACCAGCAGCUCCAGGCCAACAGAGGCGUGUUGCGAUCGGGCGUGAUGCGGGCGUGAGGGCGGUGGAGGGCGGUGGAGGGCGGUGGAGGAGGGCUGCGGGUUUGGAGGGUGGCUCAUGUGUGUGGUGCUGCUGCAGAGGCGCCGCUGCUGGGUUGGCGUGCACAGUUUGCCUGCACGUUUACUGGUCCUCGCCUUGGACGCUCCGGGCACGGUCUGCUUGUGUGUGCGUGGCAUGCACGCAAUGACAACGUGUCCGGGCACUGGGCAUUGCUGGGUGUAACACUGUAACAUUACAUGGCAUUUGCGCACAUGCCCUCUCUUUAUUGGCAUUCAUUCGCAUGCUCGUUCGCACUGAGCCAGUCCAACCUGCCCCUGGGCUCAGGUCCCCAGUCUCUUUCACGCAUCACAUACACCUCGCAUCGCCAUUUGCUCUUGGAUCACCGAUACCCUGGUCAUGUUGUACACUUCGAGCCCGCUUCACACAUACAUAACGUACUAUCGCACCGUACCUGGUCACGUCCAUGCCGUCAAUCACGUUUAAUGCAGUUCCGUACCACUCUCCAUUUCCUUGAUCACGAGCAAAGCAAGUUGCAAACGUUUUCGCAAGCGUCUCCAGUAUCGUCACGACAUACGCACCCCAUCUCCUUGUCCACUUCCGCCCUCCACAGCCCCCACCAGCCUCAGCCUCAGCCUCAGCCCCCGUACAAUCGAUCUGUCCACAACCUCUCGCUCCAUCUCUUCUCAUCUCUUAUGCCACCACCACCAGCCCCCACUGGCGGAGCAACUGCGUGAACCGCUGCACACGCCGAGCGCGCAGCAGCGCCAGCAGGGCUGUGGGCUGCGGCGGCGGCGGGCUGGUGUGGUAGCGCGCGUACAUGGGCACACACGGCCCCGCCCACGGCAGCUGCGGCUGCGGCUGUGCCUCCACAUCCUCCACCUCGUCUUGCGCCUCGUCCUCCGCCUGCUCCUGCUCCUCCGCCUGCUCCUGCUCCUGCUCCUGCUCCUGCUCCUGCUCCUGCUGCUGCUCCUGCUGCUGCGCCUCCACGGCCGGCUUAUCGCGGCGGCUGGAAGCGGCGAUGAGCAGUCGUGCGCUAGGCAUGGGCGGCGGCACACUCGUGUGGUAGCGCGCGUAGAGGGGCACACACGGCCCCGUCCACGGCUGCUGCGACCGCGCCCUGUCCUCCAGCACCUCCUCCUCCUCCACCUCCUCGUCCUCCUCCUCGACCUCCUCCUCCGCCACCUCCUCCUCCGCCUCCUCCUCCGCCACCUCUCCAACAGCGGGCAUGACGGCGGCGGGGCUCAAGGCGAGGCGCGACACAAACCCGGGCCUUGGUGAGUGUGCGCUGCCCGAGCAGGGGCGCUCAGGGCUUCCGACACCACCACUCAGCUCCUCAAGCCGCCGCAUGCGCCGCGGCGAGGAGAGUGCCGCCGCAGCCGGACUGCCAUCGUCGAUGGGGAUCAGGCUGAUUCCGAAACGGGAGGCCUUGCCCGUUCCCCUGGGUGCGGUCGGUAUCAGGCCGGGGUGUUCCCGCGAUGACACAGCAAUGAUGUCCGCAACCUCGUCCUCAAAGCGCUUGGCGGCCGCCUUGUAGGUUUCCACAUCAGGCUGGCCCAGCGUGACGCUGCAGGACGGGGGCACACGAGGAAACGAUGGGAUUCAGUUAUCUAGGCUUGCGACAGGGGCGUCUGGAAAGUCCGGGUAAGUGGUGCCGAGGGGGCAAAUGAGCCCCGAAGCUGAGUGUCGGAGUCGGAAGCGUGCAUGCCCACGACCGACGGUGCGCGAAGUAACCGACAUCAGCCCGAACUAGCACCCAGCUCCCGACAACGAAUCAAUUGGUGAGCAUGACAUUAUAACUCACAUGGUGAAGCCAUCAGGGCUGGCGGGGCGAGUCGCCAGUAGCGACUCAGGAGAGCAGGUGGCGAAAGGCCUGUGCCAGGAGUGAGGGUGUGAGAGUCAUCUCCGCACGUAAUUCGUCCACUGCAAACAACUCAGGCCCCAGUGCGCAGGCUUGCGAAAAGCUCGAAGGCCACUUACCCGCUCUGCGCCCCGGGCUGCGACACAUUACAAGUGUCGUGACGCUCCAUUGCUACUGCCAUACUGAAUUAGCCUUUGAGGCAACUAGUACACAGAAAGAGAGUGUGCCCGGAGGGGAACUGUGCAAGCGCGCUGGUUUGUAACAAACAGGCUGUAGGAAUCUGAUGGUACGUGAUGUGCGUGUAAGUCUUUGCGCCAGUACCAAAUUGUUUUAGUAGCCUGGGUUUAGAGAGGGACUGCAACUUGCCAACCCUUGGCAAUGGGAAAAGGCCGGUUCCCCAUUCCGCAAAGCUACAGCCCAUAGCUGCUAUGUUCUUGCUACACAGACUGGUAGCUUUCCAAACCUGCUUAUGUGAGCUAGCUGCGGUUGCUGGUAGCGCAAGUUUCUUUGCCCCUGUGCUGGACUGGCCCUGCCUUUCAGAUUCUGUGCAGCUGGGAUAAACACAUCCACCACUUCAUUAUGGCUAACAGCACAGAAGCAGGGGUAGGCAGGCAGCGGCGCUGGGGCAGUCAAGUUGGCGCCAAAGCCCUGGCCCACGGACCAUCCUGCGCAGUUGACAAUAGAAAUACAGCAGGGGUUCAACAUAACAGGUGUAUGGGCGCUGCUCCUCCGCGGCGACCGCGUUACGGCCCGCAAGCAAGGCGCUUCCUAGGCCGGCCUGGACAUGGACCGCGGAGCUGUAGUAUUAGAAAGCUUAUGGAGCUGAGUUAACUGCGGAAGAGUGCGUCCCGAGCCCAGACUGCUUGCGCGUGCGGGCGUCUUGUAUGACCCACGGAGCCCGCGGGAGGGCGCUGCAGCAUCAGGCGCAAGUGAUUGGAGGUGAAUAGGUGACCCAGGGAAAGGACAGAACACGGACUUGCUGACGAAGACGAAGCCCGCAAGGAAAGUCGGUUAAAAAUGGCACUGUCGGGCCACGUAACCGCUUGCAACUGCCGCUGGGCUGGCUGGCUGGGGCAGGCUGGGGCCCACGCGGUGGACACAAACGCCGGCGUCGUCAUUGGUGUGCCGCCUUUGAUUUCGCACAAGCUGGCGGAAGACUAGCUGAGCUCUGCUGACCCCCGGGGGCUGCACCGUGGGCUUGCACCAGUCCGCCGCGCCCAGGCAUGCGUGUGUAUCUGCUGAUGUGGCUCAAGGAGAUGUAGGGCAGUAAGAACUACGAAGGUCACGGCUCGCAGCGCUGCAGGUCUGCAUGGGUGGAGAUUGGAGACGGGAGGGCGCUGCAGCGCGUGGAGAAAGCAAGCAAAAUAGCGGUGCCUGGAAAUGAUGCAUCGCCGAACGGACCCCGGGAAAGCUGAGCGUGUCCAAGCUGUUAGGUGUCUGAAUGCCCGCCGCGCGUGUUUGGGCCCCGUCCACAGCUGUUGAGAAGCGACCGGCGUUGGCGCGCCUGCUGCACCCGCGCGCCUGCUGCGCCCUCGUGGCUACUGCACCUGCCGCACCUGUUGCGUGGAAUGGCACUCAUUACCUUAUGCAGGCACCUGGCGCCGGCCUGCCAACUUCGAUGCACGGCCAUGGGUGCCGCGCCUGCCAAAGGCUGUAGUUGGCUGUAGCAGGUGGCAGCAGUGGGCAGGUGCCGCGAUGUGGAGUUUGCGUGGCCGUCGUCUUCGGUGGUACUGGAGCGGGGCUGUCUACAGGGCGCAUAUGUGCCACAAAGCUUGCAUGGCGUGAGACUAGGUGCUGCGAGGUGGUGCAGCGGAGAUUUCCAAAGGCCAGGCAAAGGGCAUGUCUCUCCUGUGCAGUGGUGAACCCAUGCUUCCACUGCGGCAUUCUGAGGGUUGAGGGGUUGGGUACGCGUGCCAGGAGGUACCUGGAGGUACAGUCUUGACGGACGCCGCCUGUGCAUCCCCGUCAACCUACGGUGUGCCACGCAUGCACCAUCCCCCAUGUGCUGCUAAUCCCUCCUCACUUCAUCCCACCCACGCAUCGUCGUGCUGCGUGAGGCGGUGGGCCAAGCACAUCCCAAAAUUACAUUUGUCCAAGCGUCCACGAAUCACGUCAAGCACAGUCAAAGUGCCUCACUGCCCAGCCCGCCGCUGUCCUUGAAAAUUGCGACAAGAGCCAGGCAACCUCCUCGCGCACCACGCACCCCCCCCAGUAGUCACCUCGAUAGUGCAUCAGCUCCAUGGGAAGAAGCCUCAGUUUGCACCCGAAACCAGCUGCUCACCAACAAACCACUCACCCACACAAGGUCACACGGCUGGGUCACACCUGCUGCCUCGUAACAAACGUCAUGCGACACCACACCACACCACGCGGCACGUACUACGGUCACACGUUUCCCGGCACACCCAGAUCUCGGGGCCAAGCCCGUCAACAGCAGCGCCAGCGUCCUCCUCGCCAGGGCAGCCCUUGCGCAGGUCCCCUUCUUUCAGGCCCUCCUGCUGCUCCCUGCCAGGGGCUGGCCAGUCGACACCAUCACCACUAGGCGCUUCAGUAUCAGGCAAGCGCUUAGUUGGCCUCGCUCUGGAUCUGCUCGCGCAGCACGGCCACCACCGACUUGAAGGCGAACCUGCAAGAGCGCACACACGCAAACACACAAGCCCGCGUUAGACCUCCGGGCACGACUUGAUGCACUGAACCCGGAACCUACACCGCUUCGGCUUGCUGUCAUAGGCUGUGCGCCAGCUACAAGACUGGAUAGGACACGUGGCUCCACUGCGCCAAUCUCCAGCACACCCCAAACCCCUCGCCACGGCGGCCUGACACGCUCCGCAACCCGGUGCCCUCCUGCUCCCCCUCCCUCGGUCCUCCCCGUCCCUCGCGGCUCUCCCUCCCUCGCUGCUCCCCCUCCCUUGCUCCUCCAACUCCUCGACCCUCUCCUCCAGCCCCUUGCCCCCAGCCCCGGCACCCCCGCCAGCCCUGCACGCACCACUCGGGGAUGUCGUCGCCGGCGCGCAGCAUCUGGCGGAACUUGGUGCCGCUCAGGUUGAGCACGUGCAGGUUCUCCGCCUUGGCGAUGUCUGCGGUGACGUAGCCCUUCUCCUCGGUGUAGGCGAUGUUGAGGCUGGCAACGGUCUGCAUGUUCAGCUCCGCCGCGUGCUUGUUGGCCAGGUCCUGUGGCGUGGGGGCGUGUUGGAAGUGGUGCGGGGAACAGGGAGGGCGGAUUGUUGGUGGCGGUUAGCUAGGUAGGCUCCAUGGUGUGAAUGAUGUGCACGGUAGCCGUGCCGGGUGCAGCUCUUGGUUGGCCGCGGGGCGCAGACGAGCUAGGGGUCAUGGCGCUGAGGGGCUCGCUGUGGCCGCAUCGGCUGCUGCGCUCUCCAACGACUGUGCACACGAGAUGUCCUGCAUUACAUGUGCUGCUCCUCCAUUCACUGUGGCCGGCUCCGUUGUGGCUGUGGCUGUGGCAAAUCCGCAUGACGGCUCCCAUCCCACCAAGGUCCUGCCUCACGCCCAAAUGUCCGGGCCCUCUGCCAUGCGGGACCUUCGCCGCCCUCGUGGUGUCCCCAAGCGCUGCCUCGCAUGUUCUGGGUUAUGCGGCGCCGCGCACCCACGCCGUUUCCUGCUCGCCUUCCAGCCGGAAGUGCUCACAUGACCACCCGCCCCGCCGCGAAGGCGGCUCAAGUGCUGCGCGCUUCCGCCGUUGCCACAUCCCAGCUUGCCACCUCGCAUCGCUGUUUCCUUCCAGCCCUCGGCUUAUUCAAUUCUUGCUCUUGUCCUUGUUCACUGACCUUGCAUUCCUCGUCCAUGCCCGCUCCUCCUUCCUUCCCAAUCCCACUCCCUUGCAUCCCUCACCCCUCCCGCUCUCUCCCUUUCAACGUUUCCUCCGCCCCUUCUCCCUUUUAACGUCCCCUCCUGCCCUCCACCUCCUCCCCUUCCCCUCCUCCCCUCCACCUCCUCCCCAUCCCCUCCUCCCCUUCCCCUCCUCGCCAGCACCCGCAGCCCGCCCUCACCUGGGCGUCGUAGGCGCCGUAGAAGUCCUGUCCGCUGAUGGACGACUUGCAGCCGGCCAUGUCGCGGCCGAUGAUGAAGUGCGUGCAGCCGUAGUUCUUGCGGAUAAUCAUGUGCUGGAUGGCCUCACGGGGGCCGGCCAUGUGCAUGGAGUAGGGCAGGUAGGCCCAGCGCAGGCGGGGGUUCUUGGUCUCCUCCUUCAGCACCUGUGUAGGCAUGUGCGCAUCUGGGUGAGCAUGCGCUUGUGCAUGGGCACGGAAAUGAAACGUGUGCGUGUGUGUGUGUGUGGGUGUGGGUGUAAGCGGUGGUGGUGGUGGUGCGAAUGACGCGGUCCACGUACACUGUCGUGCUGGCUGAAGCGUUUGCCAGUUCCUUGCCUCAAGACUGUGUGCACAACGCUGCGCCGGUGCUGUGCUGUCCUGCCGGGUCCUGACACGGAAUCUGCUGCCGGACCCCCGCUGCGCCGUGCACCCGCCUCAGAAACCGGCACCAAAGCAGCCCGCCGUCUCCGUAUCGCGGCCCGUAGUACGGUAGGCGGAUUCGCUCACCCCCGGCCCGGCCACCGCGACCCAUUUGCCAACCUCCAGCGCACACCCACCUCACCUCGCCCUGGGCCUUUGCGCACCCUCCCCUAUCAGUCCAUCCCGCCUGAUCACCUACCCGAGCCUCGCCGCCUUCCCACCCACCCGCCCCUUCCCUGGACGUCCCUCGCCAUCCUUCCUUCGCCCCUCCCCGCCAUCUCCACCUCCACCGCCCCGCCGCGUCCCCUGCACCCACGCACCUCAUAGGUGCGGAAGCGGACCACGCCGGGGAUGUCGUCGUCCUGGGUGGGGCCGCAGGUGGGGUGCACCAGGCACACGGCGCCGGGGUUGCGCACGUUGGGCGCGUCCAGCGCGCGAAUGAACAGCUCGUAGUGGGCCUUGUGGAUGGGGUUGCGGCACUGGAAGGCCAGCACGUCCUGGUUGGCAGGCAGCGUGGAGCGCACGUCGGCGGGCGAGGCGCAGGGGAAGACGCGGGUGGGCAGGGCCAGGCCCUUGAUGGGGCCGCCGAUGUAGUACUUGCCGCGCUCCAUGGCCACCAUCUGCACGGCAGGGUGCUCCAGCGAGGAGGUGCCGUAGCACUUGAGGCACUCCAGCGGCUUGUUGGGGGUGAACUUGGAGUCCACGGUCAUGACCGCGAGGUCCUGGCCCUGGUAGGUCAGCAGCAGCUUGUCGCCGGGCACGAUGUCCUCCGAGUCGGUGUCCAGCACGAUGGGCAGACCGAACAGCAGGCCGUUGGUCAUGCGCAUGUUGGCGACGACGGAGUCGUACUCCGCCUUGUUCAUGAAGCCCUCCAGGGGGGAGAACGCGCCCACGGUCAGCAGCUCGACGUCGCACGCGUUGCGGUCGCUCAGCUCGAUGCGCUUGUUGCAGGCAGCCUUCAGGGCAGCGUGCUCCGAGGCAGGCGCCAUCAGGUUGACCAGCUUGGCAGCGGGGCCGUGGGGGACCUGCGCAGGCCAGCGAGAACACGUUCAGGCCCAAAUGUGCACGCCAUGCAACACUCGAGUCGCUUGCAGGCGCGAUCCCUCGGUCAAGAGAGCGAGUGCAUUAAUCGUAAUUGGUCCUCACUGUAAC